GUCGAACGGAGCUUAGAGAGCUUGCUUUUUAAGCUUAGUGGCGAACGGGUGAGCCAUGCGUGAGUAACCUGCCCUAGAGUGGGGGACAACAGUUGGAAACGACUGCUAAUACCGCAUAAGCCCACGGUGCCGCAUGGCACUGAGGGAAAAGGAUUUAUUCGCUUUAGGAUGGACUCGCGUCCAAUUAGCUAGUUGGUGAGGUAACGGCCCACCAAGGCGACGAUUGGUAGCCGGACUGAGAGGUUGAACGGCCACAUUGGGACUGAGACACGGCCCAGACUCCUACGGGAGGCAGCAGUGGGGGAUAUUGCACAAUGGGGGAAACCCUGAUGCAGCGACGCCGCGUGGAGGAAGAAGGUUUUCGGAUUGUAAACUCCUGUCGUUAGGGACGAUAAUGACGGUACCUAACAAGAAAGCACCGGCUAACUACGUGCCAGCAGCCGCGGUAAAACGUAGGGUGCAAGCGUUGUCCGGAAUUACUGGGUGUAAAGGGAGCGCAGGCGGGAAGACAAGUUGGAAGUGAAAACCAUGGGCUCAACCCAUGAAUUGCUUUCAAAACUGUUUUUCUUGAGUAGUGCAGAGGUAGAUGGAAUUCCCGGUGUAGCGGUGGAAUGCGUAGAUAUCGGGAGGAACACCAGUGGCGAAGGCGGUCUACUGGGCACCAACUGACGCUGAGGCUCGAAAGCAUGGGUAGCAAACAGGAUUAGAUACCCUGGUAGUCCAUGCCGUANACGAUGAUUACUAGGUGUUGGGGGANUG
This 759-nucleotide ribosomal RNA is filed under the name uncultured bacterium. RNAcentral describes it as "bacterial SSU rRNA". It matches the Rfam family "Bacterial small subunit ribosomal RNA", at positions 61 to 833 of the family's 1533-position model. The record is from RNAcentral.